RNAcentral lists this ribosomal RNA (395 nucleotides) under uncultured Alteromonas sp. RNAcentral describes it as "bacterial SSU rRNA". It matches the Rfam family "Bacterial small subunit ribosomal RNA", at positions 509 to 910 of the family's 1533-position model. The record is from RNAcentral. Lineage: Bacteria; Pseudomonadati; Pseudomonadota; Gammaproteobacteria; Alteromonadales; Alteromonadaceae.
CAGCAGCCGCGGUAAUACGGAGGGUCCAAGCGUUAUCCGGAAUCAUUGGGUUUAAAGGGUCCGUAGGCGGGCUAUUAAGUCAGAGGUGAAAGUUUGCAGCUCAACUGUAAAAUUGCCUUUGAUACUGGUAGUCUUGAGUUAUAGUGAAGUGGUUAGAAUAUGUGGUGUAGCGGUGAAAUGCAUAGAUAUCACAUAGAAUACCAAUUGCGAAGGCAGAUCACUAACUAUAUACUGACGCUGAUGGACGAAAGCGUGGGGAGCGAACGGGAUUAGAUACCCCGGUAGUCCACGCCGUAAACGAUGGAUACUAGCUGUUGGAAUUUUUCAGUGGCUAAGCGAAAGUGAUAAGUAUCCCACCUGGGGAGUACGUUCGCAAGAAUGAAACUCAAAGGAAU